This 1005-nucleotide long non-coding RNA is filed under the name Ficedula albicollis (Collared flycatcher). RNAcentral's name for it is "lncRNA (ENSFALG00000022370.2)". The record is from RNAcentral. Lineage: Eukaryota; Metazoa; Chordata; Aves; Passeriformes; Muscicapidae.
GGGGGGGGGGGGGGGGGGGGGGGGGGGGGGGGGGGGGGGGGGGGGGGGGGGGGGGGGGCUCGGGGCCUGCUGCCGCCGUGCGGGGUUUGUUUAUCGAGCGUUUCGACCAUAAAUCAUAGUAUUGACAGUAGCGUUGUUCGGGAAGAGGCUCUUCUCCGUGCCCUCAAAGCGCGUGUUGCGGGUGAGGAGGGGUUUUUAGAAGGGUCUGGAGCGCACGUCACAUGAGGAGCAGCUGCGGGAGCUGAGGCUGUUCAGCCUGGACAAGAGGAGGCUCAGCAGGCACCUUCCCGCUCGACAGCUCCCUGAAAGGAGCUCGUAGCCGCAUGGGGGUUGGCCUCUUCCACCGAGUAAUAAAUGGUAGGACGAGUGCGAAUGGCCGGGAAACGGUCCCAAGUUGUGCCAUAGGAGGUUUAGAUGGGAUAUCAGGGAAAAGUCCCUCACAGAAAGGGUGAAACAUUGGAACCGGCUGCCUAGGGAAGUGGGGGAGUCACUGUCCCUGCAAGCGUUCAGAAAAGCUGUAACGAGCACUGAUAUGAACGUUUGGGGUUUGUUUGUUUGUUGUUGUUUUGUUUUUAAUCUGCCUUUUUAAAGGGAAUUGUACUUUAACAGAAUAGCACUAUUCCAUUAUUGCUGUUACAAGAACCCAGUGAUCUCGGGUGCCAGAGACGGGCGUGGUGGGAGCGCUGUCCCCCUGUUUACUCUGUGUUCCAGCAUUAGAGAAACGGCCAGAAAGUGAACGUGAGCAGAUCAGGAGUUAAGAAAAUGCUUAUCAAGGCCUUGGCACUCAGAGUUUCUGCCUGCAGAUUUUCUACAGUUACUGCUGUAAGUUGCCAGUUUACCUCAGCAGAGCACAGGCAUGGACGAACACUUCCUGCUAAAAAUGAAACAGUUGUUUCCCAUCAAAGCACAAAAAGCAAAGCAUCAGAGGAGAAUCAACCAGCAGUUAUUUACCAGCAGUUUGUUAUCUAUUUCAGUGCUCACAACCGUGUUCUUUUAGCGCGAUAA